CACGAGGGUUUCACUGUUUUAAAAAAUCUCCAAUGAAAUUGAGAUUGGGGUGAAGACGCCCCAUCCAAAUUGUAAGACGAGAAGUCCCCAUGGAACUUUACUGGAGGCUUAUAGUACGGAUAUUAAAAUAAAGGCUGAAGGGUCUUUUUUGUUUUUAUAGAAGGGUUCAAGGUAAGAGGGACAGUUUCAUUGGGGCGAUGGCUUUUUAAAAAGUAACAAAAGUGAGCUAGAAAUAUAAGUUUGAUUGUGAGGGAGAGGGCCCGAGCAGACACUCUAGGUGGGCGGAAGUGACCCGUUAUUUUUGAAUGAAAAAGUUAACGAUAAACA
Molecule: ribosomal RNA, 327 nt
Filed under: Paraconotrochus antarcticus
Lineage: Eukaryota; Metazoa; Cnidaria; Anthozoa; Scleractinia; Caryophylliidae
Description: partial large subunit ribosomal RNA
Rfam family: Bacterial large subunit ribosomal RNA
Source: RNAcentral